AAUGAACGCUGGCGGCGAUGGAUUAGGCAUGCAAGUCGAACGUGCUCCCUUCGGGGAGAAAGUGGCGAAAGGGUGAGUAACACGUGAGCAACCUGCCUCCGGAUCCGGAAUAAUCCAGGGAAACUUGGUCUAAAACCGGAUGAAGACAUUGGUCCGCAUGGUCUAAUGUUAAAAUAUUUAUAGUCCGGAGAGGGGCUCGCGGCCCAUUAGCUUGUUGGCGGGGUAAUGGCCCACCAAGGCUACGACGGGUAGGUGGUCUGAGAGGAUGGUCACCCACACUGGGACUGAGACACUGCCCAGACUCCUACGGGAGGCUGCAGUCGAGAAUCUUCCGCAAUGGGCGCAAGCCUGACGGAGCGAUGCCGCGUGAGGGAUGAAGGCCUUCGGGUUGUAAACCUCUGUCAUCCGGGACGAAAACAAUGACGGUACCGGAAAAGGAAGCCACGGCUAACCACGUG
This 458-nucleotide ribosomal RNA is filed under the name uncultured bacterium. Its description in RNAcentral is "bacterial SSU rRNA". It matches the Rfam family "Bacterial small subunit ribosomal RNA", at positions 29 to 507 of the family's 1533-position model. The record is from RNAcentral.